Molecule: ribosomal RNA, 250 nt
Filed under: uncultured prokaryote
Description: partial 16S rRNA
Rfam family: Bacterial small subunit ribosomal RNA
Source: RNAcentral
ACGUAGGGGGCAAGCGUUAUCCGGAAUUAUUGGGCGUAAAGAGCGCGCAGGUGGUUAUAUAAGUCUGAUUUUAAAGUUCAGGGCUCAACCCCGGAAUGGAUUGGAAACUGUAUGACUUGAGUACAGGAGAGGUAAGCGGAAUUCCCAGUGUAGCGGUGAAAUGCGUAGAUAUUGGGAGGAACACCAGUGGCGAAGGCGGCUUACUGGGCUGUAACUGACACUGAGGCGCGAAAGCUUGGGGAGCAAACGG